This is a non-coding RNA of Mycena leptocephala, 73 nucleotides long. NCBI's taxonomy places the organism in Eukaryota, Fungi, Basidiomycota, Agaricomycetes, Agaricales, Mycenaceae. The record is from the annotation of a GenBank genome assembly.
GGGCUCUUGGCGCAGUUGGUAGCGCGUUCGCUUCGCAUGCGAAAGGUCGUUGGUUCAAAUCCUACAGUGUCCA